This 70-nucleotide transfer RNA is filed under the name Paraplagusia bilineata (doublelined tonguesole). RNAcentral's name for it is "tRNA-Ser". It matches the Rfam family "tRNA". From Rfam's summary of the family: Transfer RNA (tRNA) molecules are approximately 80 nucleotides in length. Their secondary structure includes four short double-helical elements and three loops (D, anti-codon, and T loops). Further hydrogen bonds mediate the characteristic L-shaped molecular structure. tRNAs have two regions of fundamental functional importance: the anti-codon, which is responsible for specific mRNA codon recognition, and the 3' end, to which the tRNAs corresponding amino acid is attached (by aminoacyl-tRNA synthetases). tRNAs cope with the degeneracy of the genetic code in two manners: having more than one tRNA (with a specific anti-codon) for a particular amino acid; and 'wobble' base-pairing, i.e. permitting non-standard base-pairing at the 3rd anti-codon position. The record is from RNAcentral. Lineage: Eukaryota; Metazoa; Chordata; Actinopteri; Pleuronectiformes; Cynoglossidae.
AAGAAAGAAGUAGAGUGGUAUACGAAUGGCUUGAAACCAUUUUAUAGAGGUUCGAUUCCUCUCUUUCUCG